GCUUUGAGAGCUUGCAGCGGUCUAUUUUGUAAGUAGAAAGAGGUAGGUUUAAGUCCUGCUCAAAGCU
This 67-nucleotide transfer RNA is filed under the name Ophiopholis mirabilis. RNAcentral's name for it is "tRNA-Thr". It matches the Rfam family "tRNA". Rfam says of the family: Transfer RNA (tRNA) molecules are approximately 80 nucleotides in length. Lineage: Eukaryota; Metazoa; Echinodermata; Ophiuroidea; Amphilepidida; Ophiactidae. The record is from RNAcentral.